This is a long non-coding RNA of Alligator mississippiensis (American alligator), 7536 nucleotides long. RefSeq lists it as uncharacterized. The record is from RefSeq and is a predicted model, not a curated record. NCBI's taxonomy places the organism in Eukaryota, Metazoa, Chordata, Crocodylia, Alligatoridae. The transcript is spliced from 9 exons.
UCGGUGGAGGCGGCGCGGCGCGAGCGCGUGCUCCCGCGAGCACAUGGGCACCGCCGCUGCCGCCGCCGCGUUCGGGCCCGGGCCCGGGCCCGGGCCCGACCGACCGACCGACCGACCUGAGGGGAUGCACCGACUGGGAUCUGAUUCCUUGACUAGUCUAACAAAAGCCAUGGGGAGCCAUGUGUUGUAGCCCACCCAGCAUUCAAGGAUUUCCAGGAUCACUGGAUUUACAGAAGCACCGUAUCCUCUGUCGAAGAUCAGAUGUGGAUGGAACAUCUUGGAAAAGCAGAUGUAGCUCCUUUUUUUUUUUUCUUCUUUUGCUGCCAAAGUGGAUGGGGUGUCUCCAUUCUCUGAGGAUUAUAUGUCGUUGGAAAUUUUGUCAUUUUUACUGGAAUACCUUCUGUUACGUUUCACAGGGAGGAGAAACCUUUGUUGUUGUAUUCGGGAGAUAUUUUCCCGGCCCCCUUACACACCUUCAAGCACAGGAUCACUCUCUGUGGCAGGUGGCUUCUACUCUAAUUGCCGUGUUCCUGAACCCCCCUGUAAUCAUAGUCAGUAUAAGUCUAGAAAUGGGCGAGCCUCAAAAGGUAUCAAGGUGAUUCGGUGACUGAUGGCAAAGUUGUUGUGGCCUCUGCUUUUCUCUCAUCUAUUCUGGACUUUCAAAAGGAUGUUGGAUUUUGGAGAUGAGAGAGAUUUUUAAUUCUGCAUCCCAAAGUUUUGCAAAAGGAAAAAAGAUGGAGCUGAGCGCUACCAAAUAGAGUGGCUACUGCCGUUGUGAAAGAUCCAGUGACACUGGAAUACACUGAGCCAAGAGAAGAGGAUGUGGCAGGUUAUGGUCCAAAGAAGUCUCCUGCCUUCUCUGAGGUGGAGAAUGAUGCUACACAACGAGGAUCUGCAGAUCAGUCUGGAAAAUAUGAACCAUGAGAACAUCCAGUCACCAUUAGAUAAGUAUUACAGUGACUCACAUUGUCAUAGCAUUGAUAGAGACAGCCUUUAGAAAGAGAUAGCAGUCUAGUGGCUGACACACAAAACUGGGAGUCUUUUUUCCUGCCUUUGACACCCCACUGUUCCUCUGACUUCCUCUAUUUUUCAUGAACAACACAAUCCCUUGCUUGUGGUUCAUUCACCUAAACAGUAAUGCAGACACAUUGCCAGACCCAAGAGGCAGUACAGUGAUGAUUAUUUAGUUUCUGCAAAGUUACUAAGACCAUGUGUAUUAAUUACCUAGACAGACAAAACUCCUGGGGUAGAGGUGAUUAUCGUUUAUUAGACCAACAAGAUAGUUGAUAGUUAUUUGUAUUGCCUAGACAUUUUUGUAUUGCCUAGAUGUUUUCUAAGCAUGCAGUUAGUGGCUUUCCUGUUUUUUGUGUUUUUUAUCUUUUUCCAGCAGCUGAUUUCUGUCUUGGGACCAGCAGCCCAGAGUGCAAGAGCAGAACCUGACUUCUGCUUCCUCCAUCCUCCCAGCACUGCCUUUCCGCUGACACGACCUUCUGCUGCAGGUGGGGCCGUGGCUGGUGCACGAGCUGGCUCUGUCACCCGUGUCAUUCAGAAAGCGGCAGUUUUCCCCUGCGCGAGGGGAACUCUCCAUUGGCCAUGGCAGAGCGAGCAGCACUGCGUCACACUGGGUUGUGCCCCGAAUACAGAAUUGGAUCAUAGACCAGCCGUGAACAAAGGGUGGGGCAUACUUCCAAACCAUGGGAAUCCAUGCGAACUGCAUUAUAUGCUGAAGCAUGAUGCAAGGCAAUGGGAAUAAUGAAGAAUGUUAAUAUAUUGCAGCAUGUUGGUUCAAUGAAGAGCGCUGCAUUUCAGCACAUUGCACAGCACUGAAACCCAUUCCACCACUGACUGCUAAAAACCAUUCACAACCUCUUUUUUUUCCCUUUGAUACCUGUUACCCCUUAUUUUAAGCUUUCUGUGCAGCAAUAGAAGCAGCACUGCGCAGACCAAGACCAUUGAGGCCAUUUUUGUCUACCAGUAACUUGAGCAUCUUUCAGAUAAGCUUUUUUCUGUCUCUGCUGUGCAUGAAAGUUGAAUUCAGUCUCAUUUUUACAGUAGUGAGUGCUGCUGAUUUGUUCCUUCGGCAUUUCUCAAAGUGUUGGUACCUAUGAAUUAUGAUCUAGCUCCACAGUCAGGGACUCCUAUCAUAAAAAGUAAAAAAUGGUGCACACUCCAAUCAAUAACCUUCUGUGGCCCCAUCUGCCCUGGAUUUGGUAUGCUUCCCAAUGAUAGCUUGAGCCUGUCGUACCUAGCGUGAUUUCUUCCUAGUGGUGAUUUGUCUAGAGAGGCCAGCUUGGAAGACUUCAGAAGGCUUGCGAAGGUAGAGAAGCAGGAGGAAAAGGAAGCCUGCUCGAGAGAACUGUAAGGGAGGUCAAGCAAAAGCAAUGCACCACGUGAACCUUUCCAUCUGAGGCUGUUUACUUUGAAAGCCAAACCGGUUUCCCUUGAUGUCAGUGACCUCAGAGGGAGCGAGAUUUGGUGCUUAUUGGAGUAUCUGAGGAGGUGCCACUGCCAUCUUUCCCUUUGGAUAGAAGGGCUUCAGCACCGAGUUACACUGAUUUAACUAAAAUGGAGACUUCGCUCUGUUUUCAUUCAGCUAAACCAAUGCGAGUUUAUGUGGAGACUUGGUCUAAUGAUCAUAGGAUCUGUCUUCUCCUUUUGUGAAACUGCCAUCAUGGAAGGGAUGAAGCAAAAGCUGUAUCCACUGUGACUUUUCCUUCUGGAAGGGACUGCCAGCAUAGACCACCCCCUGGCUUAUUGGUCAUCUAACCCUGCAUAGAGUAGGCUUGGACCACAUGGUGUCUAAAAUUCCACUGACCACCUAGAGCCCUUCUUUCACUAGGCUCCCUUUCUUACUGCCAUUGGUAGUAGGAAUAGUAAGAAACAUUAAGACAAAAAGACUAAUACAGACAAGGCCAAAAGGAAGGAGUGGACAGGACAGGGGCAAUACCAGAUCACCAAGGCACAGAGAAUGCUCUAACAUGCAUCUAAAGAUACACCGUCGUCUGGCCCCUGUUGAAUAGCAUUGUGGUUGCUCUGGCCAAGCUUGAUAAUCAUUUUUCUACUGCAAUUAUCAGUCUAAGUGGGUAGGUGGGACAGCAGGCCUGUUAUGGCUUUUAUCUUCCCAGAACCUGGGAACAAAGCCCAUCGAGGAGGAAACUGGCUUGACCAGUUGGGGGGCUGUGUAUGUAACGGUUGAGGAGUUCAAAGGAAAAGGAUGCAACAGUCAAAUUCACAAACACAUCUGGGGUUCAACUGAUAAAGUUGCAUUUUUCAGCGAAAGACAGUCUUAAAGGGAUGUUGUCAAGUGGCCAAGACCAAUGUUAGUUUUGUUUAAAAACAGGAAAGAGACUUCCAUGAAGACUAAUAGGAACCAAAAUGGUUCCUCUGUGGUUUUGCAUAUUCCAGACAAACCAUGACUGUUCCUAUCAAGGAUGACCAAUUUCUGUUUGCACAAUGCAUUGGCCAGUUUCUACUUUCUUCCUCAAACCGGUUCUUGCUAUUUAAAAGGUUUUUCAGUGGAGCUGAGAGGAGGGGCCUUGUGUUUUAUCCAAAUGACACCUGGGAUGGUGCCCAAUCAUGUGAUGACAACAUUGUGCUGGUCUAUGAGAAAUGGGAAGUGAAAGCAGGCAGGUCAUGGUGUGGGCUGAAAGAAAGGCAGAAAGCAAACUAACUGCUUUUCAAGUUAAAAAGUCAGGGAGAGCCACCAGUUGAUUUCAGUGUCAAGAAUAGAAAGUAUGGGGCUUCAUGCUCAUGCACAGUCUUGCUCACAGUCAACUGCAUUAUGUUAACGGUUGUAUUUAUUUGACACAAGGUAAGGCAUUAAUUUGAGUGAAGACUUGCGACUGACUCUUUUGAAGUCUGGUUUUGUUUCUUGUUUCCCCAGAGCCUCAGAAGGCACGUUGCACACUAGACUGCGUUGCAGUAGGAAUAUAUCACAAGUGCUACAAUUCUGUGGCUAUAGACCAAGAGAAGCAAGAUACCAGGGAUUUGACAGGGAUAUUACCUGCACCCCACGCCCAGUGCAGGGCUCUUGCUGAUGAGCCUAUAGAAUCCAAGGAUUUGUGUCUACACAUUUUUCCUUGGUUUAAAAAACUGAGUUAAAUAAAAUCCUGUGAGGAUAAGUAUACAUUAUAUUCUAGUGGGUUCUCUCAGGGUGGUUUGUACACUGCCACUACUACAAUGCUAGUGAUAACUGAGCCAUCUAGUUUUAAAAGAGCUCAAGUACAUCUACACUAGCUACCCGUACACCUUUGACUGCCCUGUAGAUGAGACACAGACUCUCUGUAGUAGAACAAAAACCUAAAACUGAGUUCCCCAAGAGCCGCGUGGAGAGGCGUAACAGCCAGACCACCUUUUCUUUGCUAAGGGCUGUAUCCGUGCUUCUUGGAAUUUCUUUGAGCCUCACACUAGGGAUUUUCCUGAAGAUUUCUUCUUUAGGAUGAAAUCUAGCUAAAGCCUAGCAGUGAGUAAUACAGUGAACAAAGAGCAAGAGAGUGUCUGUCUGACAGCAGCACUGAAAGAAACUAUUGAAAUUAACUCCCUGGCUGGGGUUCACUACCCAUGAAUGCAGUUACCUAUAGAUCCUCAUGUGCUGCAGGAAUGAAAUGCAAGGAAAAAGUCUGCUAACACAAAAGCCAAACUCCCUUCCCAUCUUAGAGGUCGAUGCCUUCUGGUGGAGCAGUGUAGACAUGGAGGAUCUUGCAUGCAGUGCCAUUGCCAGAUUGUUAUAGCCUGUGGACAAGGAGGUCUUUGUUUCCCAGGCCUGUCACUGAGCCCAUAGCCUACAUUUAUGGGGCUGCUGCUGCUCCUGUAGCUAAGAUGGUGGGCACCCUUGAUAUAGACACAGCUCGGCCAGAAGAAGGAGCCUUUCCUAAACCUACCUGACACCACUGUGACACAAGAACUGAUAGAUAUAGACAAGACCUCAGUUGACUUGAGAGUUCGAGAAGGACUAGCAUUAGUUGGAGGCUCAGCGUAUACCUAGCCUGCAACAAGUCGCACGCCGGUUUUGUUUUGGAAUGGUUGGACUUGCCACGACAUCUCAUGAAAUGCUGAACUCACGUGUGAUAUAAGCAGCAGAGAAAUGUUUUCAAGUGAACACGGCUUCUGAUGAAUGGCUUUGAAGAACACGUUGGUUUGGCCUUGCAAGGUCCCUGUGCUGGAAGUGUUUAUCAGCGUGGAGCUGUCAUGCUUUUCAAGUGCUAGAGAAGGGGUUUUUUUUCAGCCCAGAAUCUCUGUCUGUAUAGAAUAAUGUUUGGCGUUUGGAGAAUUGUUGUUUCUAACCAAGAUAAUUUUUCCCUAGUUUUAUCUCAUGUGACAAAACAAGUGGACCUUGAAUUGCAUUUUAAUGUCAGAUUUCAAUUAUAUGGCUAUAACAAAAGGUUACUUGGAGGUAUUUUGUUAUCCUUUUGUUGACAUGUCCUUGUCUAAUGUUUGUCGCUUGAAAUCUCCAUUUUCUCUACUUCUGUUUGUUUUCUGAAAGGGCUAAAUUAGAGAGAGUGCUUGUGUGGACGGAGGAAACAAAAGGGCAAGCUGCGUGCAGCCAUAAAGAGAUACUGAAAACCUAUGGAAUAACAAGUCUGUGCUGAACAGGGGCGACUAGCAUCUUAUUGAACCUUUUGAAGUUGUCACAUCCAGGCUAGAGACUGUUCUGACACUUCCUCUUGGCUCCACAAUUUUUUAAGCUUGAUGCAGAAAUUGCUGGGGAAAUUCUGCCAUCUGUUUAUUAUGCAGGAGGUCAGACAAGAUGAUUUCAGUGGUUCCUUUUGGCUUAAAAAAUGUACAAAACUGUGUUUCAUUUUCUGAGCCUGCUCUCAGAGCUUCGAGAAGGAUUUGUCUUGGGAGAGUGAGACCAGCAGAACCGAUCCAGUCUUCUGUUGUCCUUUCAUGGUGCCCCGGAGUGAAAAUCGGACCUGGUGUGCAAAUGUCAAUAUGGGUGGCAAAAGCAACUCCACCUUGACUUUUAUUUUUUUGUAGGGGUCUCCCACAACCACAGGAAUUGAGCUGCCUCGUGCCAAUCCUGAUUCUAAAGAAAUGUAAGGGCCAACUCAUCACCACGGGUUAACUGAUGACUGCCUGCCUUGCUGCCAUAGGGAAUUGAAUACCAUGUGAUAUCACAGUGAAGCACAUCUAUCUCUGCCCUUGUUACUGCCCAUAAGCUUCAUCCAGAGACUGCCAAACCCAUAGCCACAGGAAACUAGAAAGAUCCUAUCCUUGGGUUAGCGAUGCCAGAAGAAAGGAAGAGGCUGGACAGGAUGUAUAAAAGCACUCAUUGCAACCAAGCGACUUGGAAAUCAUCUGGCAAAAUUCAUGUGGCCACAAAACAGCCUAGCAGCCUCAAGCUCUCAUUCUGGGAGGUCUGAGCAUCACUCGGGACUUACAGCCCCUUCAUGAAGCCUGAUGCUUUGAAAAUGUGGAGUUUGGCUUCACAACAAUGCAGGUCACAGUGGAUGUACCGUUACUUUCUUCGAAUGCCGUCUGUCACAUUCUGCAACUUGAGAACCUGUCUGAUUUCCCAGCAUAAUUUGAAAGAUCAUGACUGCUCGUACCUCUUCUCUCAUUAACAACCAUCACUGCUUCUUCAGUCACUGCAGAAUCUCUCUUGAUGUCAUUGUGUCUCAAGAUGAACCUUUCCUUCCUCUUUACAUUUGAUGCAGUGGGCUAGUUGCUCUUCCAACCAGCUAUCUGGCUUUUGAGACAUGUGUGAGAACUGCAUGCGUCUCUCAUGCCUUCGUUCAUAAAAAAAGAAAUCAGCACAUUAUACUACAGUUUGUAUCAAAUCUCUAUCCCAAAUGGAGAUAUUGAGUCUUUGUAUUAAUACUAACCAGCUUGUUCUUCUUUCCAUUCACAGUUGAAAUUACAACUUCUGCUUUCAAACUGACUCACAAAUAUUUAGAGGAAUGGUCAAAAAAGAAAACUAUAUUUCUCCUCAGGACUCUUCACAUAGGUGGUAUCAUAGGUCUGAUUUGUUGUCUUUUGCCUUGCAUAGCUAUUUACACACCCAUUGCAUAUAAGCAGAGUAAAAGCAGUCUGACUUUGGGUAUUGCUUUAAUACUUGCUGUGUAGAGGCAUAAAUUGUAAUACAAAAUGCUAGAGCAGUAGUCCCCAACUCUGGCUCAAAAUAGACAAUAAUUAGGUGGCAAGGGCACUCUUUACACUGUAUGUGGUUGACCAAAAUUCAACUCUGGCUCAAGGGAAGCACGUUGCUUGGGAGACGGAUGUUGCUUGAAGUCUCAGGAAAUGUAUGGAAUUUGACACGUGGGGCCAGCAAAAAAUUGGGGACCACUAUCCCAGAUGAAUAUAGGCCUGAAAAACAAGGCCUGAUUCACCAUUAUGUUACUCCAAGUUUAUGCCAAUCCAAAUAACUGUCACCACCAAAUAUCUGGAAGGGAAAAAAAAAGAAAGAGAAGGGAAAAAGAAUUGUGGGAGGAUACUGACUUCCAGUUAUAAUCUAUGCAGCCUGACUAGCCACAGGAUAAUAUUGAUUUACAAGCCAAGUUCUCUAAUUAAAGGCAGUUUAACGCUCUCUUAAAAUAC